AAGUCGUAACAAGGUAACCGUAGGUGAACCUGCGGUUGGAUCAUUAUUAAAUGAUUAUCCCACUGGGUUGCUGGACUCCGGUUCACCCUGGUGGGGUAUAAACCUAUUGUGCACUGUAAUUGUUUUUUGGGUAAGAGCUCCCUAGGGACGCUCUUGCCCAACACCUAAACCCCUUAAAUUUGGCUGAGAAGUAAAUUGUUAAUAGCAAACAACUUUUGACAACGGAUCUCUUGGCUCUC
RNAcentral lists this unclassified non-coding RNA (239 nucleotides) under fungal sp. RNAcentral's name for it is "partial internal transcribed spacer region". The stretch from base 1 to 46 matches the Rfam family "Eukaryotic small subunit ribosomal RNA", at positions 1786 to 1831 of the family's 1831-position model. Lineage: Eukaryota; Fungi. The record is from RNAcentral.